AGAGUUUGAUCAUGGCUCAGGAUAAACGCUGGCGGCGUGCAUAAAACAUGCAAGUCGGACGAGCACCCUCGGGUGCUAGUGGCGGACGGCUGAGUAACACGUAAGUGACCUGCCCCCGAGUGGGGAAUAACUGCUCGAAAGAGUGGCUAAUACCGCAUACGCUCGCCCCUUCGGUGGGGUGAGCAAAGCAGCGAUGCGCUCGGGGAUGGGCUUGCGGCCGAUUAGCUUGUUGGUGGGGUAACGGCCUACCAAGGCGAUGAUCGGUAGCUGGUCUGAGAGGAUGAUCAGCCAGACUGGGACUGCGACACGGCCCAGACUCCUACGGGAGGCAGCAGUUAGGAAUUUUGCGCAAUGGACGAAAGUCUGACGCAGCAACGCCGCGUGGAGGACGAAGGCUCUCGGGUCGUAAACUCCUUUUCUAAGGGAAGAUGGUGACGGUACCUUAGGAAUAAGCCCCGGCUAACUACGUGCCAGCAGCCGCGGUAAUAC
This 489-nucleotide ribosomal RNA is filed under the name uncultured bacterium. RNAcentral describes it as "bacterial SSU rRNA". It matches the Rfam family "Bacterial small subunit ribosomal RNA", at positions 8 to 526 of the family's 1533-position model. The record is from RNAcentral.